GGGGGAUAAUUUAAUUGGAAAAAUACCUGCUAGCUAGGCAGGAGAUGUAGGUUCGAAUCCUUUGCUCCUCCACUA
The sequence is a transfer RNA, 75 nucleotides long. It matches the Rfam family "tRNA". Rfam says of the family: Transfer RNA (tRNA) molecules are approximately 80 nucleotides in length. Their secondary structure includes four short double-helical elements and three loops (D, anti-codon, and T loops). Further hydrogen bonds mediate the characteristic L-shaped molecular structure. tRNAs have two regions of fundamental functional importance: the anti-codon, which is responsible for specific mRNA codon recognition, and the 3' end, to which the tRNAs corresponding amino acid is attached (by aminoacyl-tRNA synthetases). tRNAs cope with the degeneracy of the genetic code in two manners: having more than one tRNA (with a specific anti-codon) for a particular amino acid; and 'wobble' base-pairing, i.e. permitting non-standard base-pairing at the 3rd anti-codon position.